RNAcentral lists this ribosomal RNA (225 nucleotides) under uncultured Acinetobacter sp. RNAcentral describes it as "partial 16S ribosomal RNA". It matches the Rfam family "Bacterial small subunit ribosomal RNA", at positions 568 to 792 of the family's 1533-position model. The record is from RNAcentral. Lineage: Bacteria; Pseudomonadati; Pseudomonadota; Gammaproteobacteria; Moraxellales; Moraxellaceae.
UGCGUAGGCGGCUUUUUAAGUCGGAUGUGAAAUCCCUGAGCUUAACUUAGGAAUUGCAUUCGAUACUGGAGAGCUAGAGUAUGGGAGAGGAUGGUAGAAUUCCAGGUGUAGCGGUGAAAUGCGUAGAGAUCUGGAGGAAUACCGAUGGCGUAGGCAGCCAUCUGGCCUAAUACUGACACUGAGGAGCGAAAGCAUGGGGAGCGAACAGGAUUAGAUACCCGUGUA